Molecule: ribosomal RNA, 213 nt
Filed under: Triticum aestivum (bread wheat)
Lineage: Eukaryota; Viridiplantae; Streptophyta; Magnoliopsida; Poales; Poaceae
Description: partial small subunit ribosomal RNA
Source: RNAcentral
AUGAGUUGCCUCUCAUGGAACUGCCGGGGGCUUGGGAACCCCGAGGCGGUUCGGGAGCUUCGCAAUGUCAUGAAGCUAGAAGGACCCACACUCCUCUUCGUCAUGGAAACAAAAAUCAAAGGGAAGAGGGUUGAGGAUUUGCAAAGACAUCUAGGCUUCGGCGGGUGCUUUGCGGUUGAUAGUACUGGUCUAAGUGGUGGUAUUGGUCUGUUU